Molecule: non-coding RNA, 43 nt
Organism: Operophtera brumata (winter moth)
Lineage: Eukaryota; Metazoa; Arthropoda; Insecta; Lepidoptera; Geometridae
Source: Rfam
UUAAAGGCUCUUUUUAGAGCCUCACAGAUCUAUUAACUUUAUA